Molecule: ribosomal RNA, 1001 nt
Filed under: Vreelandella aquamarina
Lineage: Bacteria; Pseudomonadati; Pseudomonadota; Gammaproteobacteria; Oceanospirillales; Halomonadaceae
Description: bacterial SSU rRNA
Rfam family: Bacterial small subunit ribosomal RNA
Source: RNAcentral
UGCAAGUCGAGCGGUAACAGAUCCAGCUUGCUGGAUGCUGACGAGCGGCGGACGGGUGAGUAAUGCAUAGGAAUCUGCCCGGUAGUGGGGGAUAACCUGGGGAAACCCAGGCUAAUACCGCAUACGUCCUACGGGAGAAAGGGGGCUUCGGCUCCCGCUAUCGGAUGAGCCUAUGUCGGAUUAGCUAGUUGGUGAGGUAACGGCUCACCAAGGCCACGAUCCGUAGCUGGUCUGAGAGGAUGAUCAGCCACAUCGGGACUGAGACACGGCCCGAACUCCUACGGGAGGCAGCAGUGGGGAAUAUUGGACAAUGGGGGGAACCCUGAUCCAGCCAUGCCGCGUGUGUGAAGAAGGCCCUCGGGUUGUAAAGCACUUUCAGCGAGGAAGAACGCCUAGCGGUUAAUACCCGCUAGGAAAGACAUCACUCGCAGAAGAAGCACCGGCUAACUCCGUGCCAGCAGCCGCGGUAAUACGGAGGGUGCAAGCGUUAAUCGGAAUUACUGGGCGUAAAGCGCGCGUAGGUGGCUUGAUAAGCCGGUUGUGAAAGCCCCGGGCUCAACCUGGGAACGGCAUCCGGAACUGUCAAGCUAGAGUGCAGGAGAGGAAGGUAGAAUUCCCGGUGUAGCGGUGAAAUGCGUAGAGAUCGGGAGGAAUACCAGUGGCGAAGGCGGCCUUCUGGACUGACACUGACACUGAGGUGCGAAAGCGUGGGUAGCAAACAGGAUUAGAUACCCUGGUAGUCCACGCCGUAACGAUGUCGACCAGCCGUUGGGUGCCUAGCGCACUUUGUGGCGAAGUUAACGCGAUAAGUCGACCGCCUGGGGAGUACGGCCGCAAGGUUAAAACUCAAAUGAAUUGACGGGGGCCCGCACAAGCGGUGGAGCAUGUGGUUUAAUUCGAUGCAACGCGAAGAACCUUACCUACUCUUGACAUCCUGCGAAUUUGGUAGAGAUACCUUAGUGCCUUCGGGAACGCAGAGACAGGUGCUGCAUGGCUGUCGU